CGGAGCUGCGGCCAGAACUUGCACGGGGGCGGGGCAGGGUCUUUCCAAGGCGCCUGCGCUAAGCCGGCUUCUCGGCGCCAUUUUGUCUGGGCAGCAGUGGCCGCAGCGCUAGCGCAUUUUAUGUUUCUGGCAAGACAAGAGCGGAGUCGUUACCCCGUAGAUUCGUCUCAGUGCGGCACCCGUUCACCGUUCCCUCCAGGACAGCACCUGGUGAAGGUCAGAGGAGUCGCGGACCUGUCCAAAGUUGAUCUGAAGAAAACAGGACUCUCAAUGACAAAUAUCCAAAAGUAUUACUGAGAGUAAGCUUCAUUUUGUGGAACAAUGAAGGAAGGUGUUCUAGUUUUAAAAGACCUGGAUCUGCUAUCUGUUGAGAACUCUGUUUCUGGUCCCUCUAGGAACGACAGCGGGGAAAAAGCACAAAUGGAUAAUCUAAUCAGAUAAGUGAUUUUUCCCCCUAUGGUAUAAAUACGUUUUAUUUGUAAUCUGUAAACCAAAACUUUGUUCUUUAAAACGUUUUUGAUUUUUUUUUUUAGGUGCCAGUAUCAAGGCGGCUUACAGUAAUAAGGUACUCCGUCUUUUCUGAAAAUAAAUUUGCAGUCUUGUCAAAGUAAAA
Molecule: long non-coding RNA, 613 nt
Organism: Equus quagga
Lineage: Eukaryota; Metazoa; Chordata; Mammalia; Perissodactyla; Equidae
Exons: 4
Source: RefSeq, a predicted model, not a curated record